Molecule: ribosomal RNA, 253 nt
Filed under: uncultured bacterium
Lineage: Bacteria
Description: partial 16S ribosomal RNA
Rfam family: Bacterial small subunit ribosomal RNA
Source: RNAcentral
UACGUAGGGGGCAAGCGUUGUCCGGAAUUAUUGGGCGUAAAGAGCGUGUAGGCGGCUGGGUAGGUCCGUUGUGAAAACUCGAGGCUCAACCUCGAGACGCCGAUGGAAACCCUCCAGCUAGAGUCCGGAAGAGGAGAGUGGAAUUCCUGGUGUAGCGGUGAAAUACGCAGAUAUCAGGAAGAACACCCGUGGCUAAGGCGGCUCUCUAGUACGGUACUGACGCUGAGACGCGAAAGCGUGGGGAGCGAACAGG